CCUACGGGAGGCAGCAGUGGGGAAUAUUGCACAAUGGGGGAAACCCUGAUGCAGCGACGCCGCGUGAGUGAAGAAGUAUCUCGGUAUGUAAAGCUCUAUCAGCAGGGAAGAAAAUGACGGUACCUGACUAAGAAGCCCCGGCUAACUACGUGCCAGCAGCCGCGGUAAUACGUAGGGGGCAAGCGUUAUCCGGAUUUACUGGGUGUAAAGGGAGCGUAGACGGCGCUGCAAGUCCGGAGUGAAAGCCCAUGGCUGAACCAUGGUACUGCUCUGGAAACUGUGGAGCUUGAGUGCGGGAGGGGCAGGCGGAAUUCCUAGUGUAGCGGUGAAAUGCGUAGAUAUUAGGAGGAACACCGGCGGCGAAGGCAGCCUGCCGCAGCGUUACUGACGCUGAAGCUCGAAAGCGCGGGUAUCGAACAGGAUUAGAUACCCUUGUAGUC
RNAcentral lists this ribosomal RNA (440 nucleotides) under uncultured bacterium. Its description in RNAcentral is "partial 16S ribosomal RNA". It matches the Rfam family "Bacterial small subunit ribosomal RNA", at positions 338 to 795 of the family's 1533-position model. The record is from RNAcentral.